UGAGGAAUAUUGCGCAAUGGGGGCAACCCUGACGCAGCGACGCCGCGUGAGUGAGGAAGGCCUUCGGGUCGUAAAGCUCUGUCAAAGGGAAAGAAGUGCAUGGUGGCUAAUACCUGCCAUGUUUGACGGUACCCUUAAAGGAAGCACCGGCUAACUCCGUGCCAGCAGCCGCGGUAAUACGGAGGGUGCAAGCGUUGUGCGGAAUCACUGGGCGUAAAGGGCGCGUAGGCGGUUUGAUAAGUCAGAGGUGAAAGCCCACGGCUUAACUGGGGAAGUGCAUUUGAAACGGUCAGACGUGAGUAUCAGAGGGGAAAGUGGAAUUCCCGGUGUAGAGGUGAAAUUCGUAGAUAUCGGGAGGAAUACCGGUGGCGAAGGCGACUUUCUGGCUGAAUACUGACGCUGAGGCGCGAAAGCGUGGGGAGCAAACA
Molecule: ribosomal RNA, 428 nt
Filed under: uncultured prokaryote
Description: bacterial SSU rRNA
Rfam family: Bacterial small subunit ribosomal RNA
Source: RNAcentral